Molecule: long non-coding RNA, 494 nt
Organism: Canis lupus familiaris (dog)
Lineage: Eukaryota; Metazoa; Chordata; Mammalia; Carnivora; Canidae
Exons: 3
Source: RefSeq, a predicted model, not a curated record
CCUCCGUCUGUUUUCCAGAAUUAACUGACUCCAGGCUGGGUCCAGCGUGUGCACUGGCCAGAAGUUGGGGAGCCCAGGGACUCUCCACCCGCGCUCCGGAAGAGGGCUGUUGGGGGAUGGCAGGGAGGGGGUCGAGAGGCUCGAAACUCCCAGUGGAGGGGUUCGUGGAGGGGUCUCGGCCGGGUGCGCCCAACCGGAGGCAGUAGAGAAGGCAGAGGGAGGCCGGAUUUUUCUUCCCACAAGAUAAAAGAUCCGCCCAAGCGGCCUCCCUUCUAGGCAAGGAACACAUUUCACUCCAAAGGGGAAUUUCCCCCCCACCUGGUAGAGGCCGAAUUCCCAGUUUCCCACGUAGGACUCUUUUGUGAAAGUCUCCAAACAAAAACACCCCGCAUCCGAACAUCACCUAAAGACCAUCAGUCAGGGUGGGAGAGUGGGCAGAAGACGCAUUCCCUUCCUUAAAGUAUCCCCCAAAUAAAGCGCGCCCUUUCCGACGA